CUUAGUCAAGUACCGUAUAACGUCCGGCACAUAUGCGGUAUAUUUUCGUUCCAGCGGAAAGUACUGCAUAUAAACGGACUUAGAAGUAAUAUUAUGCGUGACAAUAGCUGCGGUGGCAGGCUAGGCCUGCUAUAUGUGGCCGCGAGCGGACGCAACGUUUAUAUGCCGCCCAGCAAAUUUGGCGCGCAAAAAGCGCCCCGAAGCGUUGAGAGAGCGUUACAAAGCAAAAGCUGCAAGGAGCGGUACAUUGCAUUGUACAGAUGCAUUGAGGGAGAAAGAAAAGCGAAAGGCCAAAAGAAAGAACCUAGAGAAAGAAGUCCAUGCUACCGCGCUGCUUUGAUGGCAUUGGAGGAGGAAAACCUGCGCUGGCCGGGAAGGAGCAAGAACAUGGCGUAUGUCGGCGGACGAGAAUUGUUUUCGGCGGUAAUUAUCGUCAUAUCUUUGUACUGGCCACGUAAUGCGACUGUGUUCGUGUUGUGAAGUGAUCUGGCCGCGUCGUCGAAAGCUCUCGGUGAUGUGAGUGAUGUUCAAAUCCACUGUUGUUACCGGAAAUUGCAAAAAGGCAGUACAACUUCGACAACUCGUGCGAGUACGACGACCACACGGGCGGUCAGCGGCGGCGGACCGCCAUGUGCGCUGGAUCGGAGGGCCCAGGAGUGCGUGCUGUAGUGCUGCGAACGUGUGCCUAUUUGGAUUAAAGUGGGAAGUCAACACUAAUAAGAACGCCACCAAAGAAAGCAGAACCCCUGGCUCUCCAGUGGAACUUUAGAGUGGACCACCCCACCGGUAUGACGGUCACAUGCAGGCCCAGGAGUCAUCAGGACAAAUAACUCUGAACAUAUAUGAAAGUUAUCUAAUGUGUUUGUGAUGACGAAGCAAUUAUGUGAAAAUGAAACACUUA
Long non-coding RNA from Dermacentor silvarum, 901 nucleotides. RefSeq lists it as uncharacterized. The record is from RefSeq and is a predicted model, not a curated record. The transcript has 3 exons. Lineage: Eukaryota; Metazoa; Arthropoda; Arachnida; Ixodida; Ixodidae.